GCGUCAGUGGUUUAGUGGUUAAAUCUAUCGUUGCCAUCGAUGGGCCCCGCGUUCGAUUCGCGGCUGACGCA
RNAcentral lists this transfer RNA (71 nucleotides) under Immersiella caudata. RNAcentral's name for it is "Cercophora caudata tRNA". It matches the Rfam family "tRNA". Rfam says of the family: Transfer RNA (tRNA) molecules are approximately 80 nucleotides in length. Their secondary structure includes four short double-helical elements and three loops (D, anti-codon, and T loops). Lineage: Eukaryota; Fungi; Ascomycota; Sordariomycetes; Sordariales; Lasiosphaeriaceae. The record is from Rfam by way of RNAcentral.